Molecule: microRNA precursor, 82 nt
Filed under: Loxodonta africana (African savanna elephant)
Lineage: Eukaryota; Metazoa; Chordata; Mammalia; Proboscidea; Elephantidae
Description: miRNA (ENSLAFG00000023438.1)
Source: RNAcentral
GUAUAUGUGUGUGUGUGUGUGUGGUGUGAGAGAGAGAUAGUACACAUACACACACACACGCACACACACACACACACACACA